Molecule: ribosomal RNA, 492 nt
Filed under: uncultured bacterium
Lineage: Bacteria
Description: partial 16S ribosomal RNA
Rfam family: Bacterial small subunit ribosomal RNA
Source: RNAcentral
AGUGAACGCUGGCGGUAGGCCUAACACAUGCAAGUCGAACGGCAGCACAGUAAGAGCUUGCUCUUACGGGUGGCGAGUGGCGGACGGGUGAGGAAUACAUCGGAAUCUACUUUUUCGUGGGGGAUAACGUAGGGAAACUUACGCUAAUACCGCAUACGACCUACGGGUGAAAGCAGGGGAUCUUCGGACCUUGCGCGAUUGAAUGAGCCGAUGUCGGAUUAGCUAGUUGGCGGGGUAAAGGCCCACCAAGGCGACGAUCCGUAGCUGGUCUGAGAGGAUGAUCAGCCAAACUGGAACUGAGACACGGUCCAGACUCCUACGGGAGGCAGCAGUGGGGAAUAUUGGACAAUGGGCGCAAGCCUGAUCCAGCCAUACCGCGUGGGUGAAGAAGGCCUUCGGGUUGUAAAGACCUUUUGUUGGGAAAGAAAAGCAGCAGGUUAAUACCCCGCUGUUCUGACGGUACACAAAGAAUAAGCACCGGCUAACUUCGUG